This 467-nucleotide ribosomal RNA is filed under the name uncultured bacterium. Its description in RNAcentral is "partial 16S ribosomal RNA". The stretch from base 12 to 372 matches the Rfam family "Bacterial small subunit ribosomal RNA", at positions 39 to 400 of the family's 1533-position model. The record is from RNAcentral.
GACGAACGCUGGCGGCGUGCUUAACACAUGCAAGUCGAACGGAAAGGCCCUGCUUGCAGGGUGCUCGAGUGGCGAACGGGUGAGUAACACGUGGGUGAUCUGCCCCUUACUUUGGGAUAAGCCUGGGAAACUGGGUCUAAUACUGGAUAGGACCAUGCUGUAGGUGGUGUGGUGGAAAGAUUAGUUUCGGUAAGGGAUGAGCUCGCGGCCUAUCAGCUUGUUGGUGGGGUAAUGGCCUACCAAGGCGUCGACGGGUAGCCGGCCUGAGAGGGUGGACGGCGAGAUUGGGGCUGAGAGACGGGCGGGACGCGCAGGGGGGGAAGCAGUGGGGAAGAUAGGACAAGGGGCGCAAGGAUGAUGCAGCAGGGCCGCGUGGGUGAUGGUGGCGUUAGGGUGGUAAAAGGAUAUGGAGGGGGAAGAAGCUUUGGGGGACGGGAAGUAGAGAAGAGGCACGGGAGAACUAAGUG